CGGGUGAGUAACGCGUGAGCAAUCUGCCCAUAUCAGGGGAAUAACAGUUAGAAAUGACUGCUAAUACCGCAUAGGACCACGGGGAGGCAUCUCUCUGAGGUGAAAGAUUUAUCGGAUAUGGAUGAGCUCGCGUCCCAUUAGGUAGUUGGUGAGGUAACGGCCCACCAAGCCGACGAUGGGUAGCCGGCCUUAGAGGGUGAUCGGCCACAUUGGAACUGAGACACGGUCCAAACUCCUACGGAAGGCAGCAG
RNAcentral lists this ribosomal RNA (251 nucleotides) under uncultured bacterium. RNAcentral's name for it is "partial 16S ribosomal RNA". It matches the Rfam family "Bacterial small subunit ribosomal RNA", at positions 103 to 354 of the family's 1533-position model. The record is from RNAcentral.